GCCCUCGUGGCUCAACUGGAUAGAGCAUCACGUUGCGGACGUGAAGGUUAGAGGUUCGAGUCCUCUCGGGGGCA
This 74-nucleotide transfer RNA is filed under the name Candidatus Woesebacteria bacterium RIFOXYB1_FULL_38_16. Its description in RNAcentral is "tRNA-Arg". It matches the Rfam family "tRNA". From Rfam's summary of the family: Transfer RNA (tRNA) molecules are approximately 80 nucleotides in length. Their secondary structure includes four short double-helical elements and three loops (D, anti-codon, and T loops). Lineage: Bacteria; Candidatus Woeseibacteriota. The record is from RNAcentral.